RNAcentral lists this small RNA (127 nucleotides) under Marmota monax (woodchuck). The record is from RNAcentral. Lineage: Eukaryota; Metazoa; Chordata; Mammalia; Rodentia; Sciuridae.
GCCAGGCAUGGUGGGGCACACCUGUAAUCCCAGCAGCUUGGGAGGCUGAGGCAGGAGGAUCGCAAGUUCAAAGCCUGCCUCGGCAUCUUAGCAAGACACUAAGCAACUCAGCAAGAUCCUGUCUCUA